Molecule: ribosomal RNA, 128 nt
Filed under: Cronobacter sakazakii
Lineage: Bacteria; Pseudomonadati; Pseudomonadota; Gammaproteobacteria; Enterobacterales; Enterobacteriaceae
Also listed under: 1 other name
Description: partial 16S ribosomal RNA
Rfam family: Bacterial small subunit ribosomal RNA
Source: RNAcentral
UAAUUGAAGAGUUUGAUCAUGGCUCAGAUUGAACGCUGGCGGCAGGCCUAACACAUGCAAGUCGAACGGUAACAGGGAGCAGCUUGCUGCUCUGCUGACGAGUGGCGGACGGGUGAGUAAUGUCUGGG